UAAUUUAUUAUUGGUAAAGAAAAACUGUUUUAAAUAUAGUAUAGUCUUAAGUGUACAGUGUUUCUAAAUUCCACAGCAGUGUACAGUAACGUCCUAGGCCCUCACAUUCACUCAUCACUCACUCACUGACUCACCCAGAACAACUUCCAGUCCUGCAGGCUCCAUUGAUGGACUUCAAGGCUCUAAGGAUGGAAGAGCUAUAGUUGGAAAGAGCCUGGGUACCUGAAUCACUGUAUGGAGGAAAAUCACUUGCUGAGCAGGAACAUCCUCAUUGGACUAGUUAUGUGGUUAAGAAAGAACCCUGGAAUUGGGGUGUUUAUUUGUUACAGCACAACCUUAACAAAGUGCUCGUAUUUUUAGCAGCACAUUUGAAAGGAUUAAUUUGCAUGUAUAGUAAUGACACUAUUACACUGUUGACACCUCAGCAUAGUGUCAUUGUCUGAAUAGAACUAUUUACUGCCCUGGUCACUCUCUUAGAUACUCAUAAAGCAAAGUUCUCACAGGUCUUAGCAAAUGCAUAGUCUUGUUUCUUGGUGUGUAUCAAGCUGUGGCCUGUACCACAUGGAAACCUGUGAAAGCCCAGCUCAGCAUUCCUGCCUGCCUAGACACCAUGUCAGCAGCAUGAAUCAUAGUUGUAUAAACUUUACCUACCAAUUGCAGUGCCUUGGGAAGGAGUCACAGCACUUCUUGCCUCCUCGGUUGAGAAUCACUGAUUUACAGUGAUCUGGUCAAGACUUUUUGCUGGCAAUCUAAAAAGGAAGACAAAUCAACCCAUGUAUGGCUGUAUUCGUAGCCCCUAAAUAGGGAAAUACUAUAAUUUGUUAAACAUUUCCCAUAUUUUUCAAACAUUUAGGUUGUUUCUAAUUUUGUACUGUCAAAACUAACUGUAUAUUAAAGACUAUUUUUGAAUAAAUAUUUCUGCCCUCAUGUUUGUUUCCUUAGGCUAUAAUAUUUCUAUCAGGAGCUAUGUUUUUUCAUUUAUUUAUGUGGAUUUUAAGGGACUAGUAGGAAUAAGCCCCAUUCUGUGGGGGCAGACAGGAGGGAAGGGCAUGUGUCCGAUGGAAUUGUGAAAUAGCGUGUCUGUGCCAGGAGCGGCCUGCAGUUCUGCAUGAGGAAAGUGCAGCGUCCUUUAGAGCCUUGAAUGGGGUUGAGCCUUGAAGGGAGGUGCCUUUCCUGGGUGCCUUAGAUCUUCUGCUAAGGAAUUUCCUAUUUCCUCUGGUAAUAGGAGCCACUGAAGAGUGUGAAAAAAGGCAUUAUUAACUGCAUGGCUCUGGGCAAUUCACUUCACCAGGAUGAACCUGGGUCUCCACCUGUCUUCUGGGGUGAGGGAAAAGACUGAAUCCUCUAGUGAACAUGAAGGUGUCCAGCUCAGCAAGCAGCAGCUUCUGGAGGGCAGAUCCCCACCUCCUCUGUGUGAUCGCCCACUCUGUGGAGGGGCCAUUUUAAGGAAGCCAAGCAGGGCUCUUCUGUCGCCCAGGGUUUGUAGUGUGUGUGAUUUGUGAACAUCUUUGAGCAGACUUCUCUUUAGGGGACUGGGACGACUCCACCGGGCUGUGCUUGCUGUGCUGACAUACCUUUUAGAGCUGCAGAAGCUGAAGGACUGCAGAUUUUUUAUUUUUAUUUUUAGACAUAGGAGAGCUCUUAGACUAGGGUUGCAAACCACCUGUCUUCUAUAGGUGAGCUGCAAAUUCUAACACUUAGAAUCUAGCAAAUAUUUACUGAGUACCUACUAAUUCCCUGCAUGUUAUGGGUCCAGGAGAUAUGUCAAUGACUGAGGCAGACAAAUUUCUGCACUCACAGACCUUACAUUAUAGUGAAAAAUGAUGCAGGCAAGCCCCAAAGUGGAGCUUGGCCCACUGGGUUCUUGGCUUUUCCCAGAAAAUUCAAGGGCAAGCCAAAGGUAGAAGGAAACAGCUUUAGCAAAGAGGCGGUGUUAUAGGGCUACCGCAUAGGCAGAGAACAGUAGCUCAGGGUAGUUUUGCAGUCAUAUUUAUAUAACCCACUUUUAAUUGCGUACAGAUUAAGGGGUGGUUUAUGCAGAAAUUUCUAGGGGAAGCAGUAGUAACUUUUGGGUCAUUGGGUCAUUGCCAUGGAAAGGAGUGAUAACUGCCUGGGUGUUGCCAUGGCAAUGGUAAAUUGACAUGGCACACUAAUGGGCAUGUCUGAUUGAAAGUUGCUUUUGCCCAAGCCUUGUUUUAGCUAGUCCUCAAUCUGGUCUGGUGUCUGAGCUCUGCCUCUCCUCUGAUGUCAGGCUUCACCUCCUACCUCAGGAAGGCAAAUACAAUAGAAAUAGGGGAGAAAUGAAACUAACACAAAAAUUUGAUAAGUUUGUAAUGAGUGCCGUCAUGGGAAAUCAAGAAUCUGAGUAAGAGAAUUGAAGGGACCCAUUUGAGGAAGGAAAUCAGGAAAGGCUGUUCUGAGGAGGGAAUACUUAAACCCAGAUUUAGAGGAAGAAGAGAAACUAUGGUUGCAAAUAAAGGAGGGGUGGGAGGAAAUAUUCCAAGGGGAGGGAAGAGCCCAUGUAAAGACCCAGAGAUGGGGAGAAGCUGGGUCUGAUAGAGGAACUGAAAAACCACCAGUGUGUCUGAAGCAAAGUGGGUGUGGCAUGGGAUGAGGAUGAGAGGCAGUACAACCAAGCUGCAGGGAUCUGGUCAACACUUUGUUGGCAAUGGAAAAAAUAAAACAACUAUGUAACACAGUGGUUAAAGUGCAGGCUCUGGAGUUUCAGACAGGCUUGGGAGCAAAUUACCUUUUCUCUGCCACUCAUUAGCUGUGUGAUCUUGGACAUGUCCUUUCCCAAGGAGGAGGCAACUUACUCUGCACCUUCAGUGACGUGAUCAGGCAGAAUGGAACACCAGCAUGUCUGAAUCCUAGGGUUUGGCACUGGGGCAGAAUUCUGCAAGACAUGACCUGCCCAUCAGGGGCUGUGGUCUGCCAGUCUGAUAAGCUGCAUUUCCCCUUUCUUUGUUGAAACUUGAGAGCAAGUGGUGUUCCAGGCAAAAAUUCAGAUGCUAUGUCAAAGGGAAACAGUUACUGAAGCCACAGAUGCUCUUUGUUCAUUAAUGAUACUAGAAUCUGGCUGGGGAGGGCUCAGACCCACAGAAAUUGGACUCUGCGACCCCAGUGACUCAAACCCCUUGUGAAAUGCUGGCUGCUUGGUAUGAACUGAUGCCUCAACAGUAUUAGCAGCAGCUAGCUCUGGAGUUUCUGGGCAGUCCUGCGGGCUGGAAGCUGGGGAGGCUGCUGUAAGGUUGUCUGGAAAAUAUUUCAAAUGGACAAUUUACUGGGAAAGGGUGUGUCCUUGCUUUGUAGCUAAUGCUGUGGGGACCCUCUGGUGGCCACAGUGGGAGCAGCUCAGCAGUGGGGUUUGCUUUCUCUUGAGUGACCCAGGCAGGAAGCCUUGGCUGGAAAGCAGAGGACUGAAUGUGGGGCUGGAAAGGUGACCCAGUUGGCUUGAGAUGGAGGCUGUGAUUUAGGUUGACACCUCACCCCAUUUUCUCUUGCUUUUGGUACCAUUUGUCUGGGCUUGAGCAGUGAGAAGAGUAAUGCUCUGUGUACAAGAUGUCAAAAAGAAAAAAAAAAGAUGAAAA
Long non-coding RNA from Sapajus apella (tufted capuchin), 3590 nucleotides. RefSeq lists it as uncharacterized. The transcript has 2 exons. The record is from RefSeq and is a predicted model, not a curated record. Lineage: Eukaryota; Metazoa; Chordata; Mammalia; Primates; Cebidae.